This 24-nucleotide non-coding RNA is filed under the name Arabidopsis thaliana (thale cress). Lineage: Eukaryota; Viridiplantae; Streptophyta; Magnoliopsida; Brassicales; Brassicaceae. The record is from RNAcentral.
CUAUAAGCCUUUCACUAGAUGUCU